AUGUACACUUCAGAAGAUCCAAUGAUCCAGCAAAUGAACAUUUUAAGAGGCUACAUCAAGCAAGCAAGAGCUGCUCACAUGUACGACGAGGUAGCGAGUCUGGAGAAAAAACCUUCAAGAACUCAUGGAAGAAUACUACAAACAAGAAUAUCAGAAGGAAGAUACUUUCGUACAGGAAAAUCAACUAGAGCACGCCGAACAUUUUUCUUGAGCCUCUCUUGUCGCAAUGUCCUUUUUAGUUUUUACCAAAUGAGUUUUUGCUCCGAGUCCUGCAAAUCUACUUAUACGCUUAAAUGUCUUAGGUGAUGUUUGUUAGGUUUGUAUUAUUGCUAUAGGCUAUGCUAUGCUCAUCAUUUCAGCAUGUCCAUCUAUAUCUUCUAUCGUACCGCUCUUUGAGCAAGUCUUUUUUUUACUUUUGUUGCGAUAUCAUCUCCACUGGUGCCUUACAUCAAUACUGCUGUUCCACUGAAGAGAACAUAAUGUGUUAAAAUUGGAAUUUUGAGAAAAUGGUCUUGCGGAGCUGUGUCUAAAUGGGAAAUUUAUUAAAUACAAUUUCUUUUUCUUUGUUUAAAAAGAAAGAAUAGUCAGUAUUCAAUCAUACCGAAAGACUUUAAGAAACCACUUAGGUGAUUAAAAAUCAACAAUUUUUUUCUUUCACUAUGUAAGCACAGCAUUCAUUUUUUUCAUGUUGUGUAAGACAGCUAUAGAUAACAUCCUCUGUUUGCUUGCAGGGUUAUGUAGUAUAAUACCAAACGAAUAAUUGAAGGUUAAAAAUUGGCAGAAAGAGUGUCAAACUUAGAACACCAGCACAUAUGUAUUGAUCUCGUGUAGGGUAAUGUGGAUUUACCGCCGUUUUUACUAAUUCUUGACUAGUUUACUCUACUUUAAACUUCUUUGUGUAGCAAUAAUAUUGAUACAUAGGAAAAUGUAUGCUCCUGAAGAAUGGAGCCUUCAAGUUCAAGGUGAUUCCUGAAACUGAAAGUCUGAUCGAGGUAAGCAGACACACCAAAAUAACCUUCCUGCUCUGUCGCAUAGAUAUGUAUUGUGAAUGAAAAGUAGUGAUAUUUUGAAAAAUUUACUAGGUACCUAGUACCGAAAAUUCAGUCGAAGAAUUUGAUUUCACGACCAAAAAGCAUUAAAAGAGGUCAUCAUGGUAUUUUUUUCAUUUCAAGUUCUCAAUUUAUGUACAUAAUAUUUGUUUUUUUUGUACAUAAUAACAUUAUUUGAAAGAGUGCUUUAUUUAUCAAGCUUUCUUAUUGAAGCUAUAGACUGAAUAUGUGAAAUGCCCUGAAGAAUUUAUAAGCAGUAGGUGGUCUGAUUUGGCAAAGUCAUUCCUGUAUAUUCCUUGCUUCUCAUUAAUUGAAUUUUGUUUAUUUUAUACUCUUGUUGAUGUUCUUGUUAUCGAAAAAAAAAAAAAUUAAAUCAUCAAAAGUAUCUAUACUUGUUUAUUUUUGACAGCAAAUUUUUUUUUUUUAUCAGGGCUUGAUAAGAAGACUGGCUCAUUGCUUUCAUCAUAUUUUCUCUAGAACAAGUCCAGAAGAUUAAAAAUCCAUUGACUUUGAAGACUGCAUAUUGACUGGAAUCAACCUAACUACAGCCGAAUCUGUCAUCCGUCCGAAUAGAAAGUUUAAAAAAAGUUUGAGGAAAAUGAGAAGGAGAGUUAGAAUUGGAUUUUAUGCACAUGUAUACUGUUAUCACAAAUCAAACAAGUUUAAAAAAAUAAGAAAACAAUGAAAACAAAAUUAAAGUCUUUUGCAAACGUAAAAUCGAGAGCAUGAAAAAAUCACGCAAGAACGCAAGACAAUGGAAUUAAUGAAACAUUGGACGCUAAAACUAGCCAGGCUAUGACAAAAUAAAACAAAAAUAUUGGGUAAACUGCCAGAGCUUUCUUUCCGUCUGGCUGACUGUUGCCAAGACAAGAAACAAGAGCGAUGCUGAAACAUAACAAAACAAAAGGAAAGUGUUGAGAUGAUGAAAAUGUUCCGAUAAUGUUUGAUUUCAAGCUUAUGGUACAAAAUAUAUCUCACCAUCCAUGUACAUAUUACGGCAAACCUUGGACUGCAAGAAAAUUUCAAAAUCAUUAAAUAAUGAUUUUGAAUGCAACUUUACGAUUUAAAAUCGCUUUUCUGAAUAAGUUGUCUUAAUGCGCUAAGGUUCCUUCCCCCAUGAACAAUUAAAGAUGUAAAAAAACAUACAUACAACCCGCCAGCAAACAAAAUUUUUGAGAGGGGCCUCAAUAAUGAACAAUGAUAAAAGUAAACUGAAUAUCCUGGCUUAGCCUUGGAGUUUCACUUGAGAUACCCGCUAUUUACAGAAAAGAUUGAAGAAACCAUAUUAAAUUUUUUAAUUUAAUUUAAUUUUUUAAUUACUUACCAUACGUUGCCCAUACAAAUACUGACAUUGAUAUGCAUAAACUUGUGAAGAAAAGGAAUGUAGAGGGAGGGAGAAUAGGAAUACAAGGCAUCUACAGGCUAUGAGCGCAAUUGCUAGAGGCAAUAAACAGUAUCCUAGAAUGCAAACGCUCUGUAGAAAUGAUCUGAAAAAUAUAGAUAAAAAUUCUAUGAAUAAUAUAAAUCUAUCAAUGCUUUAGAUUUCAAUAACAAAACAAACAAAAAACUAGGUCCUGACUAAGCG
RNAcentral lists this long non-coding RNA (2634 nucleotides) under Bemisia tabaci. Its description in RNAcentral is "lncRNA ENSSWEETPG006792". Lineage: Eukaryota; Metazoa; Arthropoda; Insecta; Hemiptera; Aleyrodidae. The record is from RNAcentral.